UUAAUUUCUCCAGGUGCCAAAAGGAUUUCAAGAACGGGAUACAAGUUAUGAAAAAGUGUUUUUUAACGCUAACGAUUUCAUGAACGGACCUCAAGUUAUGGAAAGUGUUUUUUCAAAGUUCUGCGGCCCCUCAUCCUCAGCGCUCCGUUGAAAUCGUAUCCACUCCAGCAACUCGUCGUGCGUUGGCAAGUUUUUCUUGACAAUGUGUGCUUUUCCUUGAAUGUUAUUUUUGACAACAGUGCCUGUCAUGUACCGAUUCAGUGUUGUAUCUUGCUCUUAAUGUUGUUAAACUGUUCCCUGUUGACUGCUGCUACUGUAUGUGCUGUGCAUUGUGAAAUAAAAACCGUUCAUUUGCA
Lepisosteus oculatus (spotted gar) is the source of this 356-nucleotide non-coding RNA. The record is from RefSeq and is a predicted model, not a curated record. Lineage: Eukaryota; Metazoa; Chordata; Actinopteri; Semionotiformes; Lepisosteidae.